AUACGAAGGGGGCUAGCGUUGUUCGGAAUUACUGGGCGUAAAGCGCGCGUAGGCGGCCAAGUCAGUCGGAUGUGAAAGCCCCGGGCUCAACCUGGGAAUUGCAUUCGAUACUGCAUGGCUAGAGUAUGGUAGAGGAAAGCGGAAUUCCGGGUGUAGCGGUGAAAUGCGUAGAUAUCCGGAGGAACAUCAGUGGCGAAGGCGACUUGCUGGACUAAUACUGACGCUGAGGAGCGAAAGCGUGGGGAGCAAACGGGAUUAGAAACCCCGGUAGUCC
Molecule: ribosomal RNA, 274 nt
Filed under: uncultured bacterium
Lineage: Bacteria
Description: partial 16S ribosomal RNA
Rfam family: Bacterial small subunit ribosomal RNA
Source: RNAcentral